This is a non-coding RNA of Salmo salar (Atlantic salmon), 54 nucleotides long. NCBI's taxonomy places the organism in Eukaryota, Metazoa, Chordata, Actinopteri, Salmoniformes, Salmonidae. The record is from Rfam.
UGCAUUCACAAUUGUAAGUCGCUCUGGAUAAGAGUGUCUGCUAAAUGACUAAAA